CCCAGUAAACGGCGGCCGUAACUAUAACGGUCCUAAGGUAGCGAAAUUCCUUGUCGGGUAAGUUCCGACCUGCACGAAUGGCGUAACGAUCUCCACACUGUCUCGGCCAGAGACUCGGUGAAAUUGCAGUCGCGGUGAAAAUUCCGUGUACCCGCAGAAAGACGGAAAGACCCUGUGCACCUUUACUAUAGCUUGACAUUGGAUUUUGGGCCUGCAUGUGUAGGAUAGGUGGGAGGCUGUGAACCCUGUACGCCAGUAUGGGGGGAGCCAUCCUUGAAAUACCACCCUUGCAUGUUUAAGAUCCUAACUUCUUCCGGUUAUCCCGGAGAAAGACAGUGUCUGGCGGGUAGUUUGACUGGGGCGGUCGCCUCCUAAAGUGUAACGGAGGCAUGCAAAGGUUCCCUCAGCCUGAUCGGAAACCAGGCGCUGAGUGCAAACGCAUAAGGGAGCUUGACUGUAAGAGAGACAUCUCGAACAGGAACGAAAGUUGGCGUUAGUGAUCCGGUGGUCCCGAAUGGAAGGGCCAUCGCUCAUUGGAUAAAAGGUACGCCGGGGAUAACAGGCUGAUCGCAUCCAAGAGUUCACAUCGACGAUGCGGUUUGGCACCUCGAUGUCGGCUCAUCACAUCCUGGGGCUGAAGCAGGUCCCAAGGGUACGGCUGUUCGCCGUUUAAAGUGGUACGCGAGCUGGGUUUAAAACGUCGUGAGACAGUUUGGUCCCUAUCUUCUGUGGGCGAAGGAGAAUUGAGAGGGCCUGUCCCUAGUACGAGAGGACCGGGAUGGACGCACCCCUGGUGAUCCUGUUGUCGCGCCAGCGGCAUAGCAGGGUAGCUAUGUGCGGAAGGGAUAACCGCUGAAAGCAUCUAAGCGGGAAGCCUGCCUCAAGAUAAGUUCUCCCCUCGAAAGAGCUGAAGGGCCCGGGUAGACUACCCGGUCGAUAGGCUGGAGGUGUAAGCGCGGCGACGUGCUCAGCUGACCAGUACUAAUAGCCCGAGCGGCUUAUUUUU
RNAcentral lists this ribosomal RNA (1006 nucleotides) under human gut metagenome. Its description in RNAcentral is "bacterial LSU rRNA". It matches the Rfam family "Bacterial large subunit ribosomal RNA", at positions 1919 to 2925 of the family's 2925-position model. The record is from RNAcentral.